ACUGUGUGCGUCACAUUGAACAUUGAAAACAGAGGGAAAACUAGAGACUGGUCUGAAGACAUUAGAAAAAAGGACACAGACUGGUAUUACUGCAGCUGGACGUACUUCAAAUCAGAUACCAGAGUAACCCUCCGCAGCAAUGGCACCGUUAUCAUCGUCAGAGAGAAGGAUCCCAGUGAACAAUGCAAUUUCCAAUUUUUGGAUCUUGUCUUCAUUACCUUGAGUGUGACAGCAUUCACCAUCAUAUUGUUCCUCGUCAUUGGAGCCCUGAUUUUGAGAUGCAAACGAUUUAAAAAGCACUUCUGACCCGAGAGUGCUCACUGAAUGAGGUGGAGGUGCUGUCCUGCCCAGGAGGGUGCUUGAGCAGCCGUGGACAGGCGAGGAGCGAGGCAGGAGGCCGGGUGAAUAAAACCCUAGUGCAGCAGAUGGAGGAGACCUACGGCAGCCUGCCAGUCUGUCUCCCAGAGCUCAACCCCACCCUGCACACCCUUUAUCAAGACUGGCUACAGGGCCAGGACUCCCCACAGGCCGGCACACUGCUGCACACCCAAUACAGAAAACAGGGUCAGAGCCACACACAGCCCCCGCACAUGCAGUGGUGAGAGAGAGGAAAACAGAUUUAGUUUAAAGACAUGAUGGAGGUGGAAUGAGAGCUGCCUCUGGUUGGCUCCUGAUUCUGUUUGGACCAUCUCAUCGUUCAUGCUGGCACCAUGAGGGACAAGUAGAGGACCAUGUUGCUCUACAGACCACUUGGUGAGAACUGAAAGUCUCAGUAGGUGCAGUUCUUCCAUUUGGCCACGGGGGGGGGGUGAUGUCUGUAGUUUAAAAAUGGUGGAUCCCCUGUGGCAGACCUGAGCCUGAGGAGAAAUAAGUCCACAGUCUAGAAAAACACAAAGCCAAAGCCAACCAUGACUAGUAUUUUUAAGUUAUAUGUUGUUUGUGUUCUUUGUUUUACAAGAUUAAAACAUACAUGUCAUACAUGUUGAGCACUAAAAUAUUCUGACAAACAAGUGAACAGGUGUCGUCUCAUUGAACUUUACUGAUCUUCUGAAAAGUGAAUGUGUUGUUAAAAUGUGAACAUUUGAUGUCUAAACCUUUCCAGUUAAAGGAUUACGUACAAGGCUAAAAACAGCAGCCCACAUUUUGGAGCAUUAAUUAAAAUCAACAUUCAAAACAA
Thunnus maccoyii (southern bluefin tuna) is the source of this 1177-nucleotide long non-coding RNA. RefSeq lists it as uncharacterized. NCBI's taxonomy places the organism in Eukaryota, Metazoa, Chordata, Actinopteri, Scombriformes, Scombridae. The transcript is spliced from 5 exons. The record is from RefSeq and is a predicted model, not a curated record.